Molecule: long non-coding RNA, 733 nt
Organism: Musa acuminata AAA Group (dessert banana)
Lineage: Eukaryota; Viridiplantae; Streptophyta; Magnoliopsida; Zingiberales; Musaceae
Exons: 2
Source: RefSeq, a predicted model, not a curated record
GAUCAUAAGAGCACCACCGAAGACGAUAAGAUGAGGACAGUCGUCAGGAGUCGUGCUUCUCUCCUCCUUACACUCGUUAUCGUCGUCUUCCUCGUCACAGCGAGAGGGGAGACGACCCCUGUGAAGGAAGCGAACCCGCAUAUUCCAUACCGUGCCCUGCGUCCUAGCAGUCAGCCCGCGUCCCGCGGAAGUCCCUAUACGAGGGGAUGCAGGUACAAUGUUUACUGCGGUCGGUCUUCGACCCGUCCGCCUCCGCCUCCGCCUCCGCCUCCGCCUUCGACCCCAUGAAAGGCUACUUCGGCAGCAUGGAGGAGUAGUUCCUUUGACGACGCAAAAUAUAUACAGGAGGCAGAUACGUAUAAUAUAUAUAUAUAUAUAUACGCACGGAUGUUCCCUCCAUCAGUUUGUCUCAUAAUACGAGUAGUGUACAUGUAUUAUUGUUAAUUAGACUUGAUUACUUUGUAGUUAUAAACAAUUAAUUAAUUAAGAAUAAAAAUGAGAAAGUGUCGUUUAGGGUCACAUGAACAUGUGCUAAAUAGAUUUAUAAAUAUUAUAGUGAGAUAAUUAGUAUUAAUGGUAAAUGUAGAAAGAGAGAGGGAGAAAUAAGAGGACUCUUCCAAGGACUAUAUUUAAGUGCACUUAAUUUAGCCAAACUAUUUUUUAUAAGAGUUGAAUGGAUGGUAAAAUUUAUGUAUCCGAUCCUUGAAACAUAAUGACUUAAUAUUGUUGUAGA